GACGAACGCUGGCGGCGUGCCUAAUACAUGCAAGUAGAACGCACAGUUUAUACCGUAGCUUGCUACACCAUAGACUGUGAGUUGCGAACGGGUGAGUAACGCGUAGGUAACCUGCCUGGUAGCGGGGGAUAACUAUUGGAAACGAUAGCUAAUACCGCAUAAUAUUAAUUAUUGCAUGAUAAUUAAUUGAAAGGUGCAAUUGCACCACUACCAGAUGGACCUGCGUUGUAUUAGCUAGUAGGUGAGGUAACGGCUCACCUAGGCAACGAUACAUAGCCGACCUGAGAGGGUGGUCGGCCACCUGGGAGGUGGACACGGCCCCAGACCCCUAGGGGAGGCGCCAGAAGGGAAUCUUCGGCAAUGGGGGAAAGUCUGACCGAGCAAGCCGACGUGGGUGAGAAAGGUUUUCGGUUCGUAAAGCUCGGUUUUAGGGAAGAACGGGUGUGAGAGUGGAAAGUUCACACUGUGACGGUAUCUUACCAGAAAGGGACGGCUAACUACGUG
Molecule: ribosomal RNA, 504 nt
Filed under: uncultured bacterium
Lineage: Bacteria
Description: partial 16S ribosomal RNA
Rfam family: Bacterial small subunit ribosomal RNA
Source: RNAcentral